GACAGAGGGUGCAAACGUUGUUCGGAAUUACUGGGCGUAAAGCGCGUGUAGGCGGCCCUGCAAGUCGGAUGUGAAAUCCCACGGCUCAACCGUGGAAGUGCAUUCGAAACUGCAGGGCUAGAGUCCUGGAGAGGAAGGUGGAAUGCUUGGUGUAGAGGUGAAAUUCGUAGAUAUCAAGCGGAACACCGGUGGCGAAGGCGGCAUUCUGGACCGAUAUUGACGCUGAGGAGCGAAAGCCAGGGGAGCAAACGGG
RNAcentral lists this ribosomal RNA (253 nucleotides) under uncultured prokaryote. RNAcentral describes it as "partial 16S ribosomal RNA". It matches the Rfam family "Bacterial small subunit ribosomal RNA", at positions 524 to 776 of the family's 1533-position model. The record is from RNAcentral.